UCUUGAUAAAGGCACUCUUUCUGAAAAGUAAGUUCGCAAAGCUUUGAGUCUAAGGUAUUAUACUAAGGUUGUCAAAGCUGCCAAA
This 85-nucleotide non-coding RNA is filed under the name Candidatus Frackibacter sp. WG11. RNAcentral's name for it is "GEMM cis-regulatory element". It matches the Rfam family "c-di-GMP-I riboswitch aptamer". Rfam says of the family: GEMM was predicted in a large-scale screen for bacterial structured RNA regulatory elements. RNAcentral also lists the same sequence under 2 other names. The record is from RNAcentral. Lineage: Bacteria; Bacillati; Bacillota; Clostridia; Halanaerobiales; Halobacteroidaceae.